Anas platyrhynchos (mallard) is the source of this 6089-nucleotide non-coding RNA. The record is from RefSeq and is a predicted model, not a curated record. Lineage: Eukaryota; Metazoa; Chordata; Aves; Anseriformes; Anatidae.
CAAAGCAGAAAAGUAGAAAUGUGUUUGUGUCCAAAAUUCCUCUGGGCUACAACACUACCUGUGUUAUAAUCCUAGAAUUAUUGUACGCUUGCACUUCUGCCCCCCGAUGAGUUGUACCAAAAUGACCCUUUGGUGGCAUUCAAAACAUGCAGCUUUUUAUUUUACCUCUCUCUUUCUUUUUUUUUUUUUUUCUUUUUUUUUUCCACCUGGCCAUAACGUGGUCACACCCAAAGGAGGGCUGUUGGCUUUCAAACGACAGGAAGGUGCACACGGUGUGCACUUGACUCCGUGACAUUUUUGCACCUCCCAUUAACCAGUGCUGUUACUUUGCAGAUUUUUGUAAACACCACUGAACAUCAAGUAUGCGAGGAACUGGCCUCACUUGCUUUAUUAGUAACCUGGAGGGAUUUGUAAGAUCUUCUGAAGAAUGCAGAUUUCCAGUUUAUUAUGCUCUUUUUAUUUAUUAGGAAUUUUGUGUGGCUUUGUUGUUUGUUUGCUUUAAGAAAAUAUUUCUGUUCAAAAUGAACAUGACUCAUACUCUGCCUGUGAGCAAAUCAGGUCAGGAAAUGAUGCUGUAUGCAUAAACUAAGUUUACGUUUACUCACUUUUCCUUUACAUCCUGUGGGGCUGCAUUUGGCUUCCUUUCCCUCAAGUCUAAGAGCAGGCUCUUGCACAUUUUCCCCAGAAUCCUGUUCCUGGAGUAAUAUCUGCUGCUUGUCCUGUGCUCAGCUCGGUGGCGCUCCAAACCUGCUCCUGUGGUGGAACAACUGGCCAGGGAAUACCACCUGAAGGUUGUGUUAUCGCACAAGUGCCCAUCCUUUCCCAUUUUUACCCAAACCUCGCUCUAGGAAUCCUUUUGCUGCUAUCUUCACCUGAGCUUUGUGUGGCCUCCGCUACAUCUGCUUGUGGCACCGUGUCAUUGUCAGUGGGUCACUGAAGGCAAGUGCUGUUUCUCAUUGAGCUCUGCCUCGUUGUGCCAUUUUCUCUUCCUGAGACUCCAGAAGGUUUUCGUGCUGGCCAGGAGGUCUGUCCGUAGUGGAUCAGUAUUGUAUGGAGGCUUUACCCUGGAAAAUAAUAAUUUGAACAAGCUUCCAAAAUAUAUCAGAGUAUUCAAAUGAGUUUAAAUUCACUUUUUUUUAUUAUUAUUAAACUUUCCAGCACAAGUGAUACACCCGCCUUUCCCAAAUUUACCAAAAAAAUAUAAUUUAUGAAGAGAUAAAACCCAAAUGUCACUGCUGCAAAUCCAGGCUGGACCCAGAUUUGUGCUGAUCGGUGUGAAGGCAGAGUAGUUCCUGGAGCUCAGUGUCGUUAUCCUGGGGGUCUGUAGAUGCAAGGGGCAGUCUGUUUUCUUUAUCCCAAAUACCAAAAUUUGCAUCUCAUCAUUCAAUCAUCGUUAACUACAGGGAGAUUUUCUGGAUUUAUGCAAGCGUGUCUGACAGGUUCCUACACUGCCUUGUGUUUUUACAGCUUUGAAGAGCCCCUGAUUGCAGAUAGGGAUCUUCUUGUUCUUGGCAGCGUGCAAACAGUAAGCAGAAAAGGUGGUCCCUCCCCACUCCAGAUAAACUCUGACCUACUUCAGGCUAACCCUGGGAAGAGCAAGCGCUGCUGGUGAGCUGCAUGAGGAAGAGGACACAGAAGGGCUUUGUGUUACGGUUUGACGUAAGGCAAAGCACAGUCAUGCAUUAGCUCAGUGUUGAUGACAUUAGCCACUGGACAUUCAGUCUCAGCUUCAUGCCUUCAGAUGUUUAAUUUUUAUUUAUUUUUUCAUAGAGAAACAUCAUAUAAAACAUCAGCUUCAUCACAUAACUCUGUGUAAAGAAACCAAAAAUCCUCAGCAGUGCACUGUCCCCUGUCCUGACACUGGGUUUUGCUUGAACAUGGAUGUUGUAGACAUUUUUCUUGGCAAUUAGAAGAGAAUCCUUUUUUUGCUUCCUGUAGUUAUAAUCACCAUACUGUAGGUGCAGGAGCACAUUUUGUGCUCCGGCUCCGAUUACAGUGGCAAUCCUGCAAGGUUAUGGAGGACACAGGGGUCUGAGUACGACUUCAGAAGUAAGAAGUCUUAACGAUGACUGAUUAGUAAAUAGGGAAAGCCAAGGGUCAAGCUCAUGAUUUUUCUGUGAGACCUGCUAGCCUUGAUGAUGGGUUGUGUCACUACAUCAUUUCUAACAAUGUAUGCAAGAAAAGAAAUUCGGGCAUUCGUCAAGCCGUGAGCAACAAUGGAGUAAAAAGAAGUCAUUGCUAUAGAUGUAACAGGAAGGCUACUUUUUAUUCAGACUACUGUUGCAAUACUCUCAGAAGUUACACACGUUGUAUAGUGAAAAAGGUCAAAGCUGAAAAUUGCUAAGUAAAUUAGAGAACUGACAUUAUUCUGCUUUGAAUCUCUUUUAUCGCUUUUUGUGUUCUUUAAUAUUAGUAGAGGGGUAAUAAAAUAUUCUAGGGCACACAUUUACCAGCCUGGAUUUGGCACAACUCCUUAAUUUUCUGGGCAAAAUAAGCUGGGCCACCUCUUUUGAGUGUCAUGGUAUUGACAUCAGUGACCCCAGACAAACUGCGUUGAUAUGGGAUUAUGCCACCUUUCCCUGAAUUAUAUGGGGGAAGGUUUGAAACAUAGGUCUGAUUGGUUUAAUUUGUAAAAUUAAACAAGUGGGUACUUUUAUCUUGCCACUUCUCAUUGAAGCAGUGAGUCUCAGUAGCUGGCACAGAGGCGUAAACGUUGUUGGGUUUUGUUCACGUCCUUGCCAUUCAUUUUCUGUGCAGGCUGAGCCACACACUUCUCUUUGCCCCUCUUUCCCAAUCAGUGAAAUGCACAGAUACUGUGUGGUUUGAGAUGUCUGGGCAGUGCCAUUAGGGGCUAAAUCCCGGGGCAGUUUCAGGAACCCGGAGGAGUCAGCACCACUGUGACUUAGUUGGGAACAGGCCUGGCUUGGCCCAUGUGUGUGUCAGCAAAAAGCUGGCCUCAGGAGGGUAACUCUGAAACUGUGACUUUUCUACCAGUGGUAGUAACACAGUGAAAUACCAGCAAAGAUCUGCGCUGCUGAAGGAGCCGUGCUCUUGAUGUAAUCAAAGAUGUACGUGCCUUCGGGUUGUUCCUGUGGUGGCUGAAGAUCUGAGAGGAAAUUAGGAAAUGCGGUUGUGAAAGAAAAAAAAAAUGUUGAGCAGAGCACUAGGAGCUGAUUACCUUCUUUUCCACAGGGGGAGGGGGAAAUGAAAAAAAGUGACUUUCUUCAAAGAUUUGGAAUAAGAUCUAUCUGACUUCAAAGGGAGUUGCUGCAAGGCUGGCUCAGUCACACCACAUCCAUCUCCUCAGGCAGAGCCAGGCUUGCCCCCUGGGCAGCACUGGGGUGCUCUCCUCAUUUGUUCAUAUCAGAAGGCUGUGCUGACACAGGCUGGGUCAGGGCUUCCUCUUCCCUGUUACUACAUCCAUCACAUGCGUAACAGGCUGGUGAUCCCUUGCACCACGCAGGGGGAGCCCCUGCCUUGUGCAGGCAGCCACUGUGCGUCUGUCUCGGGGACUCAGUCCCGGGAUGGUACCUCGGUGUGAAUCAGAGCCUGGUUUCACCCCAGGAUGCCCUCAGUACCUCGAAUGCUGCGUGCCCUGUCCCUGAAAGAGCUGCUGCUGAAGUGCACCGCACUGAUGUUGCCCUCUGUCCCAGAAGCUUGUUGUUCAAACUUUGAUCUGAAGCGGGAGGGAAUUAGGGAUCUUUUUCUCCAUGUGUUUUCUCCCCUCCACAUGUCCAGACUGCUGCUCAGAGCAGGGGACAAAAGGGCAAUGGCAGAUAUGAGGGCUGAUAUCUGGGGUGUGUGAAACAUGCUGGUGCUGAGCUUGGGACAAGUUUGGUGUGGGUAAAGAGGUUAGGAUGUGAGCAGGGGGUUGAUGCCUGGAGUUACAGGGCAAGCAGGAAAACUGCUUCUGGGAGUAAGAAACCCUCUGCUGACUGAGAGUGGGUCUGAAGGAAAAGCUGGACUAUAUAUUUGCCGCUACCUGGCCAUUGGCCAAACUAAAUAUUCAUAUUUAAAACAAAUUAUCAGUAAAGUCAUUGACCGUGCUGUCUAAUCUAGAUCUGUACAAGGGUCGGGUGCUGCCCCAUCUCCCAAAUUCCUGACUUCGGCAUCAGGCGUUACAUCUGCUCUUCUUUCAGAACUGCUGCUCAUCCUUUAAAGCGCAGUGCUUGUGGCCUGGUUUUUCAGGUGUGUCCAAACUUUUGCUGCCCUUAGUGCAGUACAUGGGGGGCUUUCUCUUCUUACUCUCUCCAUGUUUCUCAGGUGGAGGUGAAAGCUUUCUGUCUUCCUCCCAAACUCAUCUGUAAAUCAGAUGAGCUUAUCUGAGUGCUUAAAGCCCUGGCAGGGCAGCUUGGUCUCAAGGUAAGGUAGUCACAGCUCACAGCCCAGCCUCACGCCACGAGACUUCUCUGAAGCAAAAGGAAUUCCUCCUUACAGGUGGUUUUAGCACCAGGCUGUCUUUGUGCUGCAGAAGACGGCUCAGGGCUCCUCAUUUCUUUGCUGCAUCUUGGAGCAAACACACCUAUAUAAACAAGGCUUUCUGUGCCUAGAUCCUCUCUCCAGCCAGGAAGAGGAGGGAAGAGCCAGCCUGGAAACAAAUUAACCCUAAGCAUUUUCCCUUUCCCAUCUUACUAACAAAUAAAAUCCUUGAACUGACCCCAAAGUAGAUUUUUUACCCAAAGGAGAGGGCAAGUGCCAGGGGUUCAGUGGACUUUUCCCAGUGCUGUUGGGUCAGUGCAGAAGAUAUUCCACCCAUGGUGGCUGUGGUUGCUGGUGCAAAAAGCCAUGAUCCUGAGAGCCGCUGUGGGAGAGCUUCCCAGUCCAGACGUGAUAGUGGCCCUCCAGGGGACCCUGCUGCCCUGUUGCAGAAAGUUGAACCACAACGCCGAGGAAGACUACGGCCUUCAUCUUCACGACCACCAGAGGGACAGAGACGACCCCCUAGCAACAGUGCGCACAGUCGCAGAAUAUACCAGGAUCCCGGAAUCCGUAAAAUCACCAUCACGUAAUCCCGGAAUCACCAAAAUAUAAAAAGGGACCCUGGGGGGGGUGAGGUGCGCGCCGUUGGCGGAGCUGAGACUCCCCAGCCACCCAGAGCUGUUUUGCUUGCUGUUGCUUACUCAAUAAAUUCCUUUCUAUUAUUAAUGCAAUGCUCUCUGAAAAUUAAUUAAGGGGGCAACUUAUAACACUUCUGAGUUGUGCAGAGACCUUUUGAUUAAACAUCACUCCUUAAGCUUUCUGAAUUUCAUUUGCACUAUGUACUUUCAGGUGGUGUCCUUAUAAACGAGAAUAUUCCCCACUUUUGGGGUCAUUUGACAAGCUUGGAUAUUGGUUUAACAUUUUGUUUCUUUCCACUCAACCCAACUAUUCUUGUCACUUGUGAAAUUUGUAGAAAGCUUAAUAUUAUUAAAUACACACUGCUUUCUAAAUAAGUCUGCUUCAAGCGCAGGCACACAAGUUGUGAAUGAAUAAAGCAGAUAAAGGAACAUGACGGUCUAGAAGCUGGAAUCAUAUUGAAAAUGAAAGUUUCGCAACAGUCCUGAAACAGAGCAUAUGAGUGCUAAACUUAUUUCUAGUACUUGCAAACAGGGAGGAGAAUUACUAAUCCUGACUAACCUACCCAAGAAAGUGCUUGCUAUGACCUGAAGGACUGAAAAAAAAUCCAUUUGCUUGCUUUGGAAAAGAAUCUAUUUUUCCGUGUAGAAGGAAGCUGGACAGAAAUUUAACUGCUGGGGAAGAAAGGGGAAUUUAACAGGGCUGCAAAUCCCCCUCCGUUUUCCCUGCUGACCACAUCUUCUCACUCUUGGCCCUCUUCCCACUUUCCAAUAAAAAACCAGACCCCAAUAUGAGGUUUUAUUGAAAACAAACAAAAAAACAACCAAACAAAAACUUUCCCUAACUAAGAAGCUGGAACAAUUUUGUGCCAGAAAGUUACUGGCAGAAUGAGCAAAUGUACAUUAAGCUAAUGAGGGUGUCCAAAAGGAAGGAGGAAGAAUGAACUCUUUUUUUGUUAGGGCUUUCAGAUUUGGGGUUGCUGGCUCAAAGAGGAAAUAUUAAGCAGGUUGGAGAUGGCCCGUCUUUUUACCAAA